RNAcentral lists this ribosomal RNA (371 nucleotides) under uncultured eukaryote. RNAcentral describes it as "partial 18S ribosomal RNA". It matches the Rfam family "Eukaryotic small subunit ribosomal RNA", at positions 592 to 976 of the family's 1831-position model. The record is from RNAcentral.
CAAUAAUGUAUAUUAACUCUACUGUAGUUAAAAAGCUCGUAGUUGGAUUUUGGAUUGACAAUGGAUAGGUGCCCACCAAAUAUGGUCGAGGCCCACAUAUGUUUUCCUUCUGAGAAAUUAAUAUAUUAAUUACUUUCUCAUUUUACCUUGAAGAAAUUAGAGUGUUCAAAGCAGGUAAGAAUCUGCCGUUGAAUAUUAUAGCAUGGGAUAAUGAAAUAUGACAUUAGUCUUAUUUUGUUGGUUCUAAAGGCUCAAUGUAAUGAUUAAAAGGGACAGUUGGGGUCAUUAGUAUUCAAUCGCAAGGGGUGAAAUCCUAAGAUUGAUUGAGGACUAACUAGUGCGAAAGCAUUUGACAAGGAUGUUUNCAUUAA